AAGAGCCUGAUGGAGUAGCAAAGCAGACGAGUGUGAUCCUGGGCACUCUGACUGUUGUCCUUGUGAUAGUCAUCGUUGGUCUGAUUGUGAAAAACAGGAAACUUCAGACAGAAGAACAGAGUGCAGUGCAAAGUCAGAAUGUGGGCUCUGAUGACGUGAACUACGCAGCAGUGACAUUUCAAACAACAAGAGCAAAAAGAAGAGAGCUGGAGCCAAAUGUUGUUUAUGCUGCCACUAGAUAGACUCAGCAGGCGACUGGAACUGAUGCUGGAUCAUAUUAAUGUGCUGCUUCAGAGCUUUUGUACGACUUGUAGGUGACAGGAAC
Molecule: long non-coding RNA, 325 nt
Organism: Epinephelus fuscoguttatus (brown-marbled grouper)
Lineage: Eukaryota; Metazoa; Chordata; Actinopteri; Perciformes; Serranidae
Exons: 3
Source: RefSeq, a predicted model, not a curated record